UACGGAGGGUGCGAGCGUUAAUCGGAAUUACUGGGCGUAAAGGGUGCGUAGGUGGUUUGAUAAGUUAUCUGUAAAAGCCCUGGGCUCAACCUGGGAAGGCCAGAUAAAACUGUUGAACUAGAGUAUGGGAGAGGGUAGUGGAAUUUCCGGUGUAGCGGUGAAAUGCGUAGAGAUCGGAAGGAACACCAGUGGCGAAGGCGGCUACCUGGCCUGAUACUGACACUGAAGCACGAAAGCGUGGGGAGCAAACAGGAUUAGAUACCCUGGUAGUCCACGCCGUAAACGAUGUCAACUAGCUGUUGGUCAUAUGAAUGUGAUUAGUGGCGAAGCUAACGCGAUAAGUUGACCGCCUGGGGAGUACGAUCGCAAGAUUA
RNAcentral lists this ribosomal RNA (374 nucleotides) under uncultured bacterium. Its description in RNAcentral is "bacterial SSU rRNA". It matches the Rfam family "Bacterial small subunit ribosomal RNA", at positions 524 to 896 of the family's 1533-position model. The record is from RNAcentral.